AGUGAACGCUGGCGGUAGGCCUAACACAUGCAAGUCGAACGGCAGCACAGUAAGAGCUUGCUCUUACGGGUGGCGAGUGGCGGACGGGUGAGGAAUACAUCGGAAUCUACUUUUUCGUGGGGGAUAACGUAGGGAAACUUACGCUAAUACCGCAUACGACCUACGGGUGAAAGCAGGGGAUCUUCGGACCUUGCGCGAUUGAAUGAGCCGAUGUCGGAUUAGCUAGUUGGCGGGGUAAAGGCCCACCAAGGCGACGAUCCGUAGCUGGUCUGAGAGGAUGAUCAGCCACACUGGAACUGAGAAACGGUCCAGAAUCCUAAGGGAGGCAGCAGUGGGGAAUAUUGGACAAUGGGCGCAAGCCUGAUCCAGCCAUACCGCGUGGGUGAAGAAGGCCUUAGGGUUGUAAAGCCCUUUUGUUGGGAAAGAAAAGCAGCAGGUUAAUACCCCGCUGUUCUGACGGUACCCAAAGAAUAAGCACCGGCUAACUUCGUG
This 492-nucleotide ribosomal RNA is filed under the name uncultured bacterium. RNAcentral's name for it is "partial 16S ribosomal RNA". It matches the Rfam family "Bacterial small subunit ribosomal RNA", at positions 29 to 507 of the family's 1533-position model. The record is from RNAcentral.